Molecule: small RNA, 119 nt
Filed under: Marmota monax (woodchuck)
Lineage: Eukaryota; Metazoa; Chordata; Mammalia; Rodentia; Sciuridae
Source: RNAcentral
ACCAGGUGUGGUGGUGUACGCCUGUGAUCCCAGAGGCUCAGGAGGCUGAGACAGGAGGAUCGCAAGUUCAAAGCCAACCUCAGCAAGGCACUAAUCAAUUCAGUGAGACCCUGUCUCUA